This 414-nucleotide long non-coding RNA is filed under the name Elaeis guineensis (African oil palm). RNAcentral describes it as "long non-coding RNA (EGUI_LNC014056)". Lineage: Eukaryota; Viridiplantae; Streptophyta; Magnoliopsida; Arecales; Arecaceae. The record is from RNAcentral.
GCCAGUCGGAGACGGUCGGUCGGGCCGCCAGUCGGAGACGGUCGGUCGGGCCGCCAGCCGGUCGGGCCCUCCGAUAAUCGGUCGGUCGGUCGGUGGGUAUCCCCCAACAGUUGCCCCCCUCCACUCCUAAGUCGGGUGGUGAGCUGGCGACUAGGAGUGGAUUUGUCGUACGCGAGGAUCCGACCGUACCGCCGAUGGAUACGGUGUCCGGCGCCCUAUAAAUGUCGAGAGGUUUGCUGGCGCCCGACAUCCAGUCGGCGCCAGGCGUCUCGUCCCAUCAGCAUCAGGUGUCGGUCGGCGCCGGACGUCCCGCCGUGUCGGGUAUCCCGCUGGUGUCAGCGAUAAAACCGGUGCCAGGUGUCAUGUCCCAUCGGGAAGUGGAACCGUCGUGUCCCAUCGGGAAGUGGAACCGUC